RNAcentral lists this unclassified non-coding RNA (276 nucleotides) under Glomus sp. RNAcentral describes it as "partial contains 5.8S ribosomal RNA and internal transcribed spacer 2". The stretch from base 1 to 65 matches the Rfam family "5.8S ribosomal RNA", at positions 84 to 154 of the family's 154-position model. Lineage: Eukaryota; Fungi; Glomeromycota; Glomeromycetes; Glomerales; Glomeraceae. The record is from RNAcentral.
GUGAAUCAUCAAAUUUUUGAACGCAAAUUGCACUCUCUUCGGAGAGUAUGCCUGUUUGAGGGUCAGCCUAAAAAAAUCGACGUAGUCGCUGUUUCGCUGUGACAUUCUUCGGAAAUUGGGUCAUCUUAUACCUUUGGGUUUUUUAAGCGUCAUAAAAUUGUCUUUACGAUUCCACGAACGUUUCUAAGAUUUUACUUCUUACAUACGUUUAAGGUAUCUAUCUUUAUUAAACGUGGCCGUUUCAUCGGAUCUCUUCAAUAAUUAUUUCGUUAACUG